GGUAAAGUGGCUGAGAAAAAGCAUUAGACUGUAAAUCUAAAGACAGAGGUCCAUAGUCCUCUUUUUACCA
This 70-nucleotide transfer RNA is filed under the name Odocoileus pandora (Yucatan brown brocket). RNAcentral describes it as "tRNA-Tyr". It matches the Rfam family "tRNA". From Rfam's summary of the family: Transfer RNA (tRNA) molecules are approximately 80 nucleotides in length. Their secondary structure includes four short double-helical elements and three loops (D, anti-codon, and T loops). Further hydrogen bonds mediate the characteristic L-shaped molecular structure. tRNAs have two regions of fundamental functional importance: the anti-codon, which is responsible for specific mRNA codon recognition, and the 3' end, to which the tRNAs corresponding amino acid is attached (by aminoacyl-tRNA synthetases). tRNAs cope with the degeneracy of the genetic code in two manners: having more than one tRNA (with a specific anti-codon) for a particular amino acid; and 'wobble' base-pairing, i.e. permitting non-standard base-pairing at the 3rd anti-codon position. Lineage: Eukaryota; Metazoa; Chordata; Mammalia; Artiodactyla; Cervidae. The record is from RNAcentral.